RNAcentral lists this ribosomal RNA (529 nucleotides) under uncultured bacterium. Its description in RNAcentral is "bacterial SSU rRNA". It matches the Rfam family "Bacterial small subunit ribosomal RNA", at positions 777 to 1304 of the family's 1533-position model. The record is from RNAcentral.
AAUAGAUACCCCGGUAGUCCACGCCGUAAACGAUGAGUGCUAAGUGUUAGAGGGUUUCCGCCCCUUAGUGCUGCAGCUAACGCAUUAAGCACUCCGCCUGGGGAGUACGGCCGCAAGGCUGAAACUCAAAGGAAUUGACGGGGGCCCGCACAAGCGGUGGAGCAUGUGGUUUAAUUCGAAGCAACGCGAAGAACCUUACCAGGUCUUGACAUCCUCUGCCAACCCUAGAGAUAGGGCGUUCCCCUUCGGGGGACAGAGUGACAGGUGGUGCAUGGUUGUCGUCAGCUCGUGUCGUGAGAUGUUGGGUUAAGUCCCGCAACGAGCGCAACCCUUGAUCUUAGUUGCCAGCAUUCAGUUGGGCACUCUAAGGUGACUGCCGGUGACAAACCGGAGGAAGGUGGGGAUGACGUCAAAUCAUCAUGCCCCUUAUGACCUGGGCUACACACGUGCUACAAUGGAUGGUACAAAGAGCUGCGAACCCGCGAGGGUAAGCGAAUCUCAUAAAGCCAUUCUCAGUUCGGAUUGUAGG